CAAGGAAUUUUCCGCAAUGGGCGCAAGCCUGACGGAGCAACGCCGCGUGGGGGAUGACGGCUCUCGGGUUGUAAACCCCUUUUACGUGGGAUGACACGGACAGUACCACGUGAACAAGCCCCGGCUAACUACGUGCCAGCAGCCGCGGUAAUACGUAGGGGGCCAGCGUUGUCCGGACUUACUGGGCGUAAAGCGCGCGCAGGCGGACCUGUAUGUGCCGUGUGAAAGCGCCGGACUUACUUCGGCGAGGUCAUGGUAGACAGCAGGUCUGGAGCCUCGGAGAGGUCGGUGGAAUUCCGGGUGGAGCGGUGAAAUGCGUAGAGAUCCGGAGGAACACCAGGGGCGAAGGCGGCCGACUGGCCGAGUGCUGACGCUGAGGCGCGACGGCGUGGGGAGCAAACCGG
Molecule: ribosomal RNA, 404 nt
Filed under: uncultured bacterium
Lineage: Bacteria
Description: bacterial SSU rRNA
Rfam family: Bacterial small subunit ribosomal RNA
Source: RNAcentral